GAUGAACGCUGGCGGCGUGCCUAAUACAUGCAAGUCGAGCGAACAGACGAGGAGCUUGCUCCUCUGACGUUAGCGGCGGACGGGUGAGUAACACGUGGAUAACCUACCUAUAAGACUGGGAUAACUUCGGGAAACCGGAGCUAAUACCGGAUAAUAUAUUGAACCGCAUGGUUCAAUAGUGAAAGACGGUUUUGCUGUCACUUAUAGAUGGAUCCGCGCCGCGUUAGCUAGUUGGUAAGGUAACGGCUUACCAAGGCGACGAUGCGUAGCCGACCUGAGAGGGUGAUCGGCCACACUGGAACUGAGACACGGUCCAGACUCCUACGGGAGGCAGCAGUAGGGAAUCUUCCGCAAUGGGCGAAAGCCUGACGGAGCAACGCCGCGUGAGUGAUGAAGGUCUUCGGAUCGUAAAACUCUGUUAUUAGGGAAGAACAAAUGUGUAAGUAACUAUGCACGUCUUGACGGUACCUAAUCAGAAAGCCACGGCUAACUACGUG
Molecule: ribosomal RNA, 497 nt
Filed under: uncultured bacterium
Lineage: Bacteria
Description: partial 16S ribosomal RNA
Rfam family: Bacterial small subunit ribosomal RNA
Source: RNAcentral